UCCUGGCUCAGGAUGAACGCUAGCUACAGGCUUAACACAUGCAAGUCGAGGGGCAGCAUGAUCAAGCUGCUUGAUGAUGGCGACCGGCGCACGGGUGAGUAACGCGUAUCCAACCUCCCUAUAGUAGUGGAUAGCCCGGCGAAAGUCGGAUUAAUACACUAUGUAUUCAACGAGGACAUCUGAAAUGAAUCAAAGGCUUGCCGCUAUAGGAUGGGGAUGCGUCUGAUUAGAUAGUAGGCGGGGUAACGGCCCACCUAGUCGACGAUCAGUAGGGUUCUGAGAGGAAGGUCCCCCACAUUGGAACUGAGACACGGUCCAAACUCCUACGGGAGGCAGCAGUGAGGAAUAUUGGUCAAUGGGCGCGAGCCUGAACCAGCCAAGUAGCCGUGCAGGAUGACGGCCCUAUGGGUUGUAAACUGCUUUUAUACGGGGAUAAAGUGCACCACGUGUGGUGUUUUGUAGGUACCGUAUGAAUAAGGACCGGCUAAUUCCGUGCCAGCCGCAGC
Molecule: ribosomal RNA, 506 nt
Filed under: uncultured bacterium
Lineage: Bacteria
Description: bacterial SSU rRNA
Rfam family: Bacterial small subunit ribosomal RNA
Source: RNAcentral